GUCACACUAUCAUUAACUGAAUCCAUAGGUUAAUGAGGCGAACCGGGGGAACUGAAACAUCUAAGUACCCCGAGGAAAAGAAAUCAACCGAGAUUCCCCCAGUAGCGGCGAGCGAACGGGGAGCAGCCCAGAGCCUGAAUCAGUGUGUGUGUUAGUGGAAGCGUCUGGAAAGGCGCGCGAUACAGGGUGACAGCCCCGUACACAAAAAUGCACAUACUGUGAGCUCGAUGAGUAGGGCGGGACACGUGGUAUCCUGUCUGAAUAUGGGGGGACCAUCCUCCAAGGCUAAAUACUCCUGACUGACCGAUAGUGAACCAGUACCGUGAGGGAAAGGCGAAAAGAACCCCGGCGAGGGGAGUGAAAAAGAACCUGAAACCGUGUACGUACAAGCAGUGGGAGCCUCUUAAUGGGGUGACUGCGUACCUUUUGUAUAAUGGGUCAGCGACUUAUAUUCUGUAGCAAGGUUAACCGAAUAGGGGAGCCGAAGGGAAACCGAGUCUUAACUGGGCGUUAAGUUGCAGGGUAUAGACCCGAAACCCGGUGAUCUAGCCAUGGGCAGGUUGAAGGUUGGGUAACACUAACUGGAGGACCGAACCGACUAAUGUUGAAAAAUUAGCGGAUGACUUGUGGCUGGGGGUGAAAGGCCAAUCAAACCGGGAGAUAGCUGGUUCUCCCCGAAAGCUAUUUAGGUAGCGCCUCGUGAAUUCAUCUCCGGGGGUAGAGCACUGUUUCGGCAAGGGGGUCAUCCCGACUUACCAACCCGAUGCAAACUGCGAAUACCGGAGAAUGUUAUCACGGGAGACACACGGCGGGUGCUAACGUCCGUCGUGAAGAGGGAAACAACCCAGACCGCCAGCUAAGGUCCCAAAGUCAUGGUUAAGUGGGAAACGAUGUGGGAAGGCCCAGACAGCCAGGAUGUUGGCUUAGAAGCAGCCAUCAUUUAAAGAAAGCGUAAUAGCUCACUGGUCGAGUCGGCCUGCGCGGAAGAUGUAACGGGGCUAAACCAUGCAC
RNAcentral lists this ribosomal RNA (1011 nucleotides) under Escherichia coli. RNAcentral describes it as "partial 23S ribosomal RNA". It matches the Rfam family "Bacterial large subunit ribosomal RNA", at positions 142 to 1194 of the family's 2925-position model. Lineage: Bacteria; Pseudomonadati; Pseudomonadota; Gammaproteobacteria; Enterobacterales; Enterobacteriaceae. The record is from RNAcentral.